AAGCAAAGUUUACACCAUGUAGGGGAGCAGGUGCCUUAAAGUCUGGCUUCGCCCCCAAAAGAUUUUACCUUCAAAUAGCACGGAAGUCCCCUCUAAUGCUGCAAGAAUGCAAGGAGUUCAAGACUCAGCAACUUCCAGGAGACUGGUUCCUGAUUUAAUACGUGCAAAUAUUUUGUUUUCCUUUUCAUUCGAAUAUUUCUUCCUCCUUCCAUCCACUCAUUCAUGCUAACUAAUGAACAGGAAACCAACAACAACGUGUAAAAAUCCUGUGAACGUUGGAAUUGACUACACCCAUAGUGGACACUUUCCCAAAGCAUCCCUGUGGUAGCAGCAAUUUAGUGUUCACUGCAGAGAUAAGUGACUGUAGUGUAUAGGCAAAGGCCAGCCCUCCAGAACGCACCUCAUUUAUUGAUGAGAUUGCAAUAGUUCUGUCAAGUGCCAAAUAAAGUUUCUUGCCCUCAGAGAAUGUUGCCAGAGGUCUGCUGUUGAGGGGGCUUAGCCAGCUACUAAAUAAAGCA
Molecule: long non-coding RNA, 518 nt
Organism: Mauremys reevesii (Reeves's turtle)
Lineage: Eukaryota; Metazoa; Chordata; Testudines; Geoemydidae
Exons: 3
Source: RefSeq, a predicted model, not a curated record